GACGAACGCUGGCGGCGUGCCUAAUACAUGCAAGUCGAACGCUUCUUUCCUCCCGAGUGCUUGCACUCAAUUGGAAAGAGGAGUGGCGGACGGGUGAGUAACACGUGGGUAACCUACCCAUCAGAGGGGGAUAACACUUGGAAACAGGUGCUAAUACCGCAUAACAGUUUAUGCCGCAUGGCAUAAGAGUGAAAGGCGCUUUCGGGUGUCGCUGAUGGAUGGACCCGCGGUUCAUUAGCUAGUUGGUGAGGUAACGGCUCACCAAGGCCACGAUGCAUAGCCGACCUGAGAGGGUGAUCGGCCACACUGGGACUGAGGCACGGCCCAGACUCCUACGGGAGGCAGCAGUAGGGAAUCUUCGGCAAUGGACGAAAGUCUGACCGAGCAACGCCGCGUGAGUGAAGAAGGUUUUCGGAUCGUAAAACUCUGUUGUUAGAGAAGAACAAGGACGUUAGUAACUGAACGUCCCCUGACGGUAUCUAACCAGAAAGCCACGGCUAACUACGUG
This 508-nucleotide ribosomal RNA is filed under the name uncultured bacterium. RNAcentral describes it as "partial 16S ribosomal RNA". It matches the Rfam family "Bacterial small subunit ribosomal RNA", at positions 28 to 507 of the family's 1533-position model. The record is from RNAcentral.